GAUGAACGCUGGCGGCGUGCCUAAUACAUGCAAGUCGAGCGAACAGAUAAGGAGCUUGCUCCUUUGAAGUUAGCGGCGGACGGGUGAGUAACACGUGGGUAACCUACCUAUAAGACUGGGAUAACUUCGGGAAACCGGAGCUAAUACCGGAUACAUUUAGAACCGCAUGGUUCUAAAGUGAAAGAUGGUUUUGCUAUCACUUAUAGAUGGACCCGCGCCGUAUUAGCUAGUUGGUAAGGUAACGGCUUACCAAGGCGACGAUACGUAGCCGACCUGAGAGGGUGAUCGGCCACACUGGAACUGAGACACGGUCCAGACUCCUACGGGAGGCAGCAGUAGGGAAUCUUCCGCAAUGGGCGAAAGCCUGACGGAGCAACGCCGCGUGAGUGAUGAAGGGUUUCGGCUCGUAAAACUCUGUUAUUAGGGAAGAACAAAUGUGUAAGUAACUGUGCACAUCUUGACGGUACCUAAUCAGAAAGCCACGGCUAACUACGUG
RNAcentral lists this ribosomal RNA (496 nucleotides) under uncultured bacterium. Its description in RNAcentral is "partial 16S ribosomal RNA". It matches the Rfam family "Bacterial small subunit ribosomal RNA", at positions 28 to 507 of the family's 1533-position model. The record is from RNAcentral.